This is a long non-coding RNA of Urocitellus parryii (Arctic ground squirrel), 2054 nucleotides long. NCBI's taxonomy places the organism in Eukaryota, Metazoa, Chordata, Mammalia, Rodentia, Sciuridae. The record is from Ensembl.
UUCCUGUAUUUGUGGGGCUGAUGGAUAGCUGGGAAAGCAGCUGCACAUAUGUGAUUGAAUUUUACCUGCUCAGCAGCUUUGUGACUUCGGACAAUGUACUCAUUUUCCAGAUGAGGAAACUGAGUCCCCUAGAGGGUGAGAUGUUGGCUCAGCUACCUGGUGACCAAGCUCAUCUUACACUCAAAUGUGAGGUCUGACUCCAGGUGCACCCUGGCUCUCACCCCAUCGUCAGCACUGGGUGCAGAGCCCAUUCAUAGAGACACAGAGAGGGCGGACACAGAACCCAUGAGCAGGAGCUUGUGGGUCRAGUGCUGGCUUUGGAAGCAAGACCCCUGGCUCUAGUUCCAGCUCUGCCAGGUAUGGACUAAGRACAAUCACCUCUUUGGGAAUCCGUUUCCCUAAUGGGCGAAUGAGAAGGCUGCAGGAAGAGUUCAUCUCGCUGAUCCAGAGAACUGGAGUUGGGGACUUGGCUCUUCGGCACUCGCUUCUCUAGGUCCCAGUCCUACCAGGCCUGCCUCCGCAUCCUCCAACCCCCCCUCCAUCCCAGUGACUUCCAGCGCCUGGACUUUUCUCUCCCAACGAACCCAACCUGUGCUCAGUAGAAUAACCUGAGGGGCAUGUUAAACAGCUGAGUCCCGGGCUCCACCCCAGAACCGACUGAAUGCAUCCCUGAGAGACGAGGCCCAGGAACCUGUCUUCCCUCAGACAUCCCCAGGAGAUUCCCAUGACCAGCCAGAUAUGUCCGUCGUUGCCGAAGUUCAGGGGCUCUCAGACCCUGGUCUCCACACACUGGCUGCUCUCGGAGCUGAGCUGGAAGGAGGUUCCCAGGAUGUAAGCCACACGAGAUGGGAAGUCCAGCAGAACCUCUGGGCUGAUAAAGCGGACACUCUGUCUUUGAAGAACGAAGAGAACUUCUGGGCCACGGACCACCUCGCCAGCGACUCCAAGUGGAACUGUGUAGCCCAUGUGUGCCUGGAGGGCACGGGAACCCCAGCCACCUAGCGCACCUCCCAGAGGGCCGGUGGGAACUGUCAAUAGUGCCAAAGUCCUACACUGCAUUUUCAAUGGGUCCCUGUACAUAGUUUGCUCCGCUGCCCAGGCCCCCACCUCUUGCUAUACUGGAACUGAUUUGUACAAUGUGGGAACUUUGUUACCUUUUUAAUGGAGGGCCACUUCCUUUCCCAGCACUUCCAUUGUAAGGCUUUUUUCCAGGAAGGGGGACUAACCACAUUACUUUUCCCUUUUUUUUCUCUUUUUCUGUUUUUAUUUUUAUUUUAUUAACUGGGGGAGGGAGAAUUAGUAUUAGUGCCAUUAUAUCUACUGGAUUUUAGGUAGGGAGAAUUUAUCUUUAAAUAAUGGUAGUUUGAAAUUUGGAAGAUUUCUUGGUAGGAAGAACUGAGGUUGGGUCUCUGUCUCAGCUCCAAGUGGGCUUCAGAUGUCAGAUCUUCCAUAUCUAACCCAUUUCCAGUUCUUCCCGGCUGCCUCGGGUCCCUGCCUUGAGUCACACGCAGGCCUUUUGAACUGCCAGGAGGCGGGAGUCUGACUUCUCAACCCCUUGGCCUCGCUGAGAGACUGGAUAGCAGGUGGCUGUCCUCUUUAAGCACCUUUUUUAAAUACCAGCAGAAAGGGCUCUCAUGAUUGUUAACAUCACCAUUACACUUACAAAAUUAAAAAAAAAAAAUGAUCUUCCUCUCUAUAUGGUACAGAGAUGAGAAGCUUUGGUUUUCAUUUCUCUUCUCAACUGCCUUUUUGGGUGUGGUGUUUGACAAGAUUUCAGCUUGAAGACUCACCAUGAAUUGAUUUUGUGUGUGUGUGUGUGUGUGUGUUGGGCCAAUUUUAGAUAUCUUUGAGUGCACUUUGGUUUUGUUUUGGUUUUUUGUUUUUGUUUUUUUUGUUUUUUGUUUUUUGUUAGUCCUAACUUUUAAAAGAAAACCAAGAGACAUAUCCGGUGUAAAUGUUGCAAUAUGAAUUAUGUUUGCCAUCCCUUUUCUGCUCUCCCACCCCCUCCCCAUUCAAGUACACUGCACAAAUAAAAUGCUAGGGAGUUUGAAUCA